GAUGAACGUUGGCGGCAGGUUUGACACAUGCAGGUCGAACGGGAAGCAGGUGCUUGCACCUGUGGAGAGUGGCGAACGGCUGAGUAACACGUAGGAACGUACCCCACAGACAGGGAUAACAGACCGAAAGGGCUGCUAAUACCUGAUAUAUCCUUCGGGAGGAAAUGGUCCGCCGCUGUGGGAGCGGUCUGCGGCGUAUUAGGUAGUAGGUGAGGUAAAGGCUCACCUAGCCUGUGAUGCGUAGCUGGUCUGAGAGGAUGAUCAGCCAGACUGGGACUGAGACACGGCCCAG
Molecule: ribosomal RNA, 292 nt
Filed under: uncultured bacterium
Lineage: Bacteria
Description: partial 16S ribosomal RNA
Rfam family: Bacterial small subunit ribosomal RNA
Source: RNAcentral